AUUGAACGCUGGCGGCAUGCUUUACACAUGCAAGUCGAACGGCAGCGCGGGCUUCGGCCUGGCGGCGAGUGGCGAACGGGUGAGUAAUACAUCGGAACGUGCCCAGUAGUGGGGGAUAGCUCGGCGAAAGCCGGAUUAAUACCGCAUACGACCUGAGGGUGAAAGCGGGGGAUCUUCGGGCCUCGCGCUAUUGGAGCGGCCGAUGGCAGAUUAGCUAGUUGGUGGGGUAAAGGCCUACCAAGGCGACGAUCUGUAGCUGGUCUGAGAGGACGACCAGCCACACUGGGACUGAGACACGGCCCAGUCUCCUACGGGAGGCAGCAGUGGGGAAUUUUGGACAAUGGGCGAAAGCCUGAUCCAGCAAUGCCGCGUGUGUGAUGAAGGCCUUCGGGUUGUAAAGCACUUUUGGCGGGAACGAAAAGGACUGUGCCAAUACCACGGUUCGAUGACGGUACCCGCAGAAUAAGCACCGGCUAACUACGUG
RNAcentral lists this ribosomal RNA (484 nucleotides) under uncultured bacterium. Its description in RNAcentral is "partial 16S ribosomal RNA". It matches the Rfam family "Bacterial small subunit ribosomal RNA", at positions 29 to 507 of the family's 1533-position model. The record is from RNAcentral.